AGGAUUAUCAAGACCAAAAGCUCAUGGUGUAAUAUUUAGAGAUGCAUUAGGAAAAAAACACACAGCAUAUUUAAGAAGAGGAGAAAUGAAUGAAGUAAUAGUAUCAUCUGGGGCACUUGGAAGCCCACAAAUGUUAAUGUUAAGUGGUGUAGGCCCAUCAGAACACUUAAAGGCCCAUAACAUUACAGUUGUAUUGGAUCAGCCCAAUGUUGGACAAAACAUGAUGGAUAAUCCAAUGAAUGCAAUAUUUGUGCCAUCACCUUUACCUGUUGAAGUUUCUCUUAUACAAGUUGUGGGUAUUACAAGAUUUGGAACUUAUAUUGAAGCUGCCUCCGGCGAGAAUUUCUCCGGUUAUCGUUCUAGUCGGAGUGAUUAUGGAAUGUUCUCCCCGAAGAUUGGUCAGCUAUCAACAGUGCCACCAAAGCAAAGAACACCAGAAGCCUUAGAAAAGGCUAUAAAUUCAAUGAAUGCACUAGAUGCAGCAGCAUUUAGAGGAGGAUUCAUAUUAGAAAAAAUAAUGGGCCCAAUAUCCACUGGACAUUUGGAGCUCCGAACCCGGAACCCGAAUGACAACCCAUCAGUAACAUUUAAUUAUUUCAAAGAGCCAGAAGAUUUACA
RNAcentral lists this unclassified non-coding RNA (618 nucleotides) under Hevea brasiliensis (rubber tree). Lineage: Eukaryota; Viridiplantae; Streptophyta; Magnoliopsida; Malpighiales; Euphorbiaceae. The record is from RNAcentral.